GCAGACCAGUGCCCGCA
Molecule: unclassified non-coding RNA, 17 nt
Filed under: Mus musculus (house mouse)
Lineage: Eukaryota; Metazoa; Chordata; Mammalia; Rodentia; Muridae
Description: oocyte_clustered_small_RNA11033
Source: RNAcentral